GAUGAACGCUGGCGGCGUGCCUAACACAUGCAAGUCGAGCGAUUUACUUCGGUAAAGAGCGGCGGACGGGUGAGUAACGCGUGGGUAACCUGCCCUGUACACACGGAUAACAUACCGAAAGGUAUGCUAAUACGAGAUAAUAUGCUUUUAUCGCAUGGUAGAAGUAUCAAAGCUCCGGCGGUACAGGAUGGACCCGCGUCUGAUUAGCUAGUUGGUAAGGUAACGGCUUACCAAGGCGACGAUCAGUAGCCGACCUGAGAGGGUGAUCGGCCACAUUGGAACUGAGACACGGUCCAAACUCCUACGGGAGGCAGCAGUGGGGAAUAUUGCACAAUGGGCGAAAGCCUGAUGCAGCAACGCCGCGUGAGCGAUGAAGGCCUUCGGGUCGUAAAGCUCUGUCCUCAAGGAAGAUAAUGACGGUACUUGA
Molecule: ribosomal RNA, 427 nt
Filed under: uncultured bacterium
Lineage: Bacteria
Description: bacterial SSU rRNA
Rfam family: Bacterial small subunit ribosomal RNA
Source: RNAcentral